RNAcentral lists this long non-coding RNA (752 nucleotides) under Homo sapiens (human). Its description in RNAcentral is "HSALNT0398772". Lineage: Eukaryota; Metazoa; Chordata; Mammalia; Primates; Hominidae. The record is from RNAcentral.
CUUCAUGUGACCUGCCUCACAGCAGAUGUUCCCAAAAGGACACGAUGCCAUAGGCCCAAUGGUUUAAAAUGUCCCUGGUCCUCCGUGGAACUUGCUGGGUAACGGGGGAAACGCCAAGGCCCCCUCUCAGGAGUCCAUUACUUGCCUGAGCCCCAGACUUGAGUCCUAUUAUGGUUUUGAAUUUGCCUCCAUGCAGUUCAGCAUGACCUUAGAGGCCCUCUGGUUCAACGAGUGAGGCCUGCAGCCUGGACAGAGAGAAGAGACUUCCCCAGGGCCUCAGGAUUUGAGGAAAUCACACCUGCGUGUUGGACUCUAAAGCUCCCCAUCUUUCCAGAUACAGCAUAAAUCCUGACCUCUGUCUUUUAUCAGACAUCCGAAGUUCACAGCCUAAGACUCUAGCUGGGUUGGACCACACACAAGAGGGCAAGACACCAGGACUGCUGGCUGAGCUUGCGGGAAGGGUUGGGAGGCAGCAGGCUGUAAGCAGCCUGGAGCACCAGCCUAGACCAGGACGCCUCCACCUCAGCAACACCGCAGCCAGGUCAUUCUGUGUCAUGGAGCCAUCUCGUACGCUGCAGGAUUUGGGCAGCACCCUUGGCCUCCACCCACUAGAUGCUAGUGGCACCCCCGAGUUGUGACAACCCUUUCUGGUCUCCUGACAAUGCAUAAUACCCCUUGGGGGGCAAAAUCACCUCUGGCUGAGAAACACUGGUUUAUGAACCCUAUCGCUAUUAAAAAACCACUGAACUGUA